CUAAGGAGGGGGAUAACCCCGGGAAACUGGGGAUAAUACCCCAUAGACUAUGAAUGCUGGAAUGCUUUGUAGUUGAAAGGUCCGCCGCCAUAGGAUGGGUCUGCGGCCGAUUAGGUUGUUGUUGGGGUAACGGCCCAACAAGCCUGUAAUCGGUACGGGUUGUGGGAGCAAGAGCCCGGAGAUGGAUUCUGAGACACGAAUCCAGGCCCUACGGGGCGCAGCAGGCGCGAAAACUUUACAAUGCGGGAAACCGUGAUAAGGGAACUCCGAGUGCCCGUAAAAUCGGGCUGUCCAUCUGUUUAAAUAACAGGUGAAGAAAGGGCCGGGCAAGACCGGUGCCAGCCGCCGCGGUAAUACCGGCGGCUCGAGUGGUGGCCACUAUUACUGGGCUUAAAGCGUUCGUAGCUGGUCUGUUAAGUCUCUGGGGAAAUCUACUGGCUUAACCAAUAGGCGUUUCAGGGAUACUGGCAGACUAGGGACCGGGAGAGGUGAGAGGUACUCCAGGGGUGGGAGUGAAAUCCUGUAAUCCUUGGGGGACCACCUGUGGCGAAGGCGUCUCACCAGAACGGCUCCGACAGUGAGGGACGAAAGCUGGGGGAGCAAACCGGAUUAGAUACCCGGGUAGUCCCAGCCGUAAACGAUGCGCGUUAGGUGUAUCGAUGACCACGAGUCAUCGAGGUGCCGAAGAGAAAUCGUGAAACGUGCCGCCUGGGAAGUACGGUCGCAAGGCUGAAACUUAAAGGAAUUGGCGGGGGAGCACCACAACAGGUGGAGCCUGCGGUUUAAUCGGACUCAACGCCGGAAAUCUCACCGGAUAAGACAGCUGUAUGAUAGUCGGGCUGAAGACUCUACUUGACUAGCUGAGAGGUGGUGCAUGG
This 878-nucleotide ribosomal RNA is filed under the name uncultured archaeon. RNAcentral's name for it is "bacterial SSU rRNA". It matches the Rfam family "Archaeal small subunit ribosomal RNA", at positions 114 to 997 of the family's 1478-position model. The record is from RNAcentral.